AGGCUUUGAUCCUGGCUCAGGAUGAACGCUGGCGGCGUGCUUAACACAUGCAAGUCGAACGAACCUUUUCGGAGGUUAGUGGCGGACGGGUGAGUAACGCGUGAGGAUCUGCCCUUAGGAUGGGGACAACGACUGGAAACGGUCGCUAAAACCCAAUGUGCCGAGAGGUGAAAACUUUAGUGCCUGAGGAUGAACUCGCGUCUGAUUAGCUAGUUGGUGAGGUAAAGGCUCACCAAGGCGACGAUCAGUAGCUGGUCUGAGAGGAUGAUCAGCCACACUGGGACUGAGACACGGCCCAGACUCCUACGGGAGGCAGCAGUGGGGAAUUUUCCGCAAUGGGCGAAAGCCUGACGGAGCAACGCCGCGUGAGGGAAGAAUGUCUGUGGAUUGUAAACCUCUUUUCUCAGGGAAGAAGGUCUGACGGUACCUGAGGAAUAAGCAUCGGCUA
RNAcentral lists this ribosomal RNA (448 nucleotides) under uncultured Spirulina sp. RNAcentral's name for it is "bacterial SSU rRNA". It matches the Rfam family "Bacterial small subunit ribosomal RNA", at positions 8 to 499 of the family's 1533-position model. The record is from RNAcentral. Lineage: Bacteria; Bacillati; Cyanobacteriota; Cyanophyceae; Spirulinales; Spirulinaceae.